UGGAUCAUUGAUGACCAUAAAAGAUGUAGGAGUCGUCUGAGACAUGCAUGAUGACCAUAAUAUUGCCAGUCUGAGAUCCAC
Molecule: small nucleolar RNA, 81 nt
Filed under: Rattus norvegicus (Norway rat)
Lineage: Eukaryota; Metazoa; Chordata; Mammalia; Rodentia; Muridae
Description: Small nucleolar RNA SNORD113/SNORD114 family (ENSRNOG00000061427.3)
Rfam family: Small nucleolar RNA SNORD113/SNORD114 family
About the family: The imprinted human domain at 14q32 contains two clusters of tandemly repeated small nucleolar RNAs named 14q(I) and 14q(II) snoRNAs. These two clusters are named SNORD113 and SNORD114 respectively in the HGNC approved gene symbol nomenclature.
Source: Rfam by way of RNAcentral